AGUGAACGCUGGCGGUAGGCCUAACACAUGCAAGUCGAACGGCAGCACAGUAAGAGCUUGCUCUUACGGGUGGCGAGUGGCGGACGGGUGAGGAAUACAUCGGAAUCUACUUUUUCGUGGGGGAUAACGUAGGGAAACUUACGCUAAUACCGCAUACGACCUACGGGUGAAAGCAGGGGAUCUUCGGACCUUGCGCGAUUGAAUGAGCCGAUGUCGGAUUAGCUAGUUGGCGGGGUAAAGGCCCACCAAGGCGACGAUCCGUAGCUGGUCUGAGAGGAUGAUCAGCCACACUGGAACUGAGACACGGUCCAGACUCCUACGGGAGGCAGCAGUGGGGAAUAUUGGACAUUGGGCGCAAGCCUGAUCCAGCCAUACCGCGUGGGUGAAGAAGGCCUCGGGUUGUAAAGCCCUUUUGUUGGGAAAGAAAAGCAGCAGGUUAAUACCCCGCUGUUCUGACGGUACCCAAAGAAUAAGCACCGGCUAACUUCGUG
Molecule: ribosomal RNA, 491 nt
Filed under: uncultured bacterium
Lineage: Bacteria
Description: partial 16S ribosomal RNA
Rfam family: Bacterial small subunit ribosomal RNA
Source: RNAcentral